Long non-coding RNA from Esox lucius (northern pike), 1006 nucleotides. NCBI's taxonomy places the organism in Eukaryota, Metazoa, Chordata, Actinopteri, Esociformes, Esocidae. The record is from Ensembl.
CUCUUACUCCCGCGUGUCCGCGGUUUUUUCUCUGUGGUGAGGCAGACUGUUAUUAUACCAGCACCCCGGCAGCACGAGGCUGCGGCAACACAAGUCGCGUGCUGUUCUUGUUUAAAGGGUAAAAGGACGUAGAUAAAAACGGACGGCUAGCUGUUAUAUCCGCUCUCCUCCAUACGGAAUACGCUACUGGGUCCACCGACAGCAUCCCUUCCAUCUUUGCUGUCCCCUUGUCAUCAGUCCCUUGUUCCAUCACCCACUGUCUCCCUCCAUCUGUUCCGUCGGUCUGUAAUGCGGGACUGAGGCAGCGGCUGGGGUUCUGUGUCCAGUCUGAAGCUGGGGAAGCUAAAGGUGGUGCGGCGGCAGCUGCUGCAGAGGUAAACACAUUCUUUCCAGUUUCACAUUUUAACUGUCAUUAUGAACCCGGUACACAAGGUGUGUUCAUCAGCUGGCACAGCGGCAUUGUUAUAUUACUGGGCUAGUUGUCGUUAAAAGGUAUUUUAAUAUUUUUAUGGUACUGGGCUAGUUGUCGUUAACAGGUACUGUAAUAUUUUAUGGUACUGGGCUAGUUGUCGUUAACAGGUACUGUAAUAUUUUUAUGGUACUGGGCUAGUUGUCGUUAAUAGAUGAAGUGGCUUUGUUAUCAGUCACAUUUAUUUUAUAAAGCCCGUUUUUACAUCCGCAGUUGCUUUUACAGAUACCCAAUAACCCUAAAGAGCAAGCGACCACAAUAAUUGAUUUAGUACAAAGCUAGUUAUCAUGAACAAGUAAAGUGGAAUUGUUAUAGUACUAGGCUGGACUAUGGUGGAGAUACAUAGAAAUGGUUUUGUAAAUGUUUGAAAAUGAUAUGCAUCAACAACUGUUUUGAGAGGUUUUUGGGAAUUUGUUUUUAUCUUGGCCUGGUGUGGCUUUGGAACUUUAAUCUGAUAGUACGGGCUAAAGUUAUUUAGAUUUAUAUUGGGAAGGGUUGGCCCAAAUCAGGCCUGAUUGUUUACCAGAGUAUUAGAAA